Molecule: ribosomal RNA, 301 nt
Filed under: uncultured bacterium
Lineage: Bacteria
Description: partial 16S ribosomal RNA
Rfam family: Bacterial small subunit ribosomal RNA
Source: RNAcentral
CAGUCGCCGCGGGAAAACGGAGGGUGCAAGCGUUAAUCGGAAUUACUGGGCGUAAAGCGUGCGCAGGCGGUUAUAUAAGACAGAUGUGAAAUCCCCGGGCUCAACCUGGGAACUGCAUUUGUGACUGUAUAGCUAGAGUACGGCAGAGGGGGAUGGAAUUCCGCGUGUAGCAGUGAAAUGCGUAGAUAUGCGGAGGAACACCGAUGGCGAAGGCAAUCCCCUGGGCCUGUACUGACGCUCAUGCACGAAAGCGUGGGGAGCAAACAGGAUUAGAUACCCGCGUAGUCCCUGUCUCUUAUAC